This 556-nucleotide transfer RNA is filed under the name uncultured bacterium. RNAcentral's name for it is "partial contains 16S-23S ribosomal RNA intergenic spacer and 23S ribosomal RNA". The stretch from base 51 to 124 matches the Rfam family "tRNA". The record is from RNAcentral.
AGACAGAUGAAUCCUAACGAACUUAGAACGCAAAAGAACUAACACAAUUUGGGGGUGUAGCUCAGCUGGGAGAGCGCCUGCCUUGCACGCAGGAGGUCCAUCGGUUCGAUCCCGUUCACCUCCACCAAUAUAUGUGUGAUCUGUGAAGAGUGUGAGUAUAGAUAAGAUAUUUGAACGUAGGAUGAUCGGAAGAUUGGACUGCGUUAGAUGGAUGACAGAGUAAAGACGAAUACAAUAAACAAUCUAGUUUAACAUUAUAGUGUUAAGUUAGGCUGACGAAAGUUAGGCUAAUAAAACACAAACGCGAAACUAAAUUCAAUUUAACAGAAGCUCUUAAGAGUAAUUCUUGGGAGCGUCGAGUCAAACUUGUUUUAGGGAUGUUGAGUUAGAACUAGGCGAGUUCAAGAGAGGCGACGCAAUGUAUGAAUAAUACAUGAGGAGCCAAACGAAGAACUCAACGACGUAAAUAACUCAAGAGACCAAAACAAGGAUAUCAAGCGUCAAAAGGGCAUCUGGUGGAUGCCUAGGCACAAAGAGGCGAUGAAGGACGUGCUAA